Molecule: ribosomal RNA, 492 nt
Filed under: uncultured bacterium
Lineage: Bacteria
Description: partial 16S ribosomal RNA
Rfam family: Bacterial small subunit ribosomal RNA
Source: RNAcentral
AGUGAACGCUGGCGGUAGGCCUAACACAUGCAAGUCGAACGGCAGCACAGUAAGAGCUUGCUCUUACGGGUGGCGAGUGGCGGACGGGUGAGGAAUACAUCGGAAUCUACUUUUUCGUGGGGGAUAACGUAGGGAAACUUACGCUAAUACCGCGUACGACCUACGGGUGAAAGCAGGGGAUCUUCGGACCUUGCGCGAUUGAAUGAGCCGAUGUCGGAUUAGCUAGUUGGCGGGGUAAAGGCCCACCAAGGCGACGGUCCGUAGCUGGUCUGAGAGGGUGAGCAGCCACACUGGAACUGGGACACGGUCCAGACUCCUGCGGGAGGCAGCAGUGGGGAACAUUGGACAAUGGGCGCAAGCCUGAUCCAGCCAUACCGCGUGGGUGAAGAAGGCCUUCGGGUUGUAAAGCCCUUUUGUUGGGAAAGAAAAGCAGCAGGUUAAUACCACGCUGUUCUGACGGUACCCAAAGAAUAAGCACCGGCUAACUUCGUG